GUCCUACGGGACGCAGCAGUCGAGAAUCAUUCACAAUGGGGGAAACCCUGAUGGUGCGACGCCGCGUGAGUGAAGAAGUAUCUCGGUAUGUAAAGCUCUAUCAGCAGGGAAGAAAAUGGCGGUACCUGACUAAGAAGCCCCGGCUAACUACGUGCCAGCAGCCGCGGUAAUACGUAGGGGGCAAGCGUUAUCCGGAUUUACUGGGUGUAAAGGGAGCGUAGACGGUGUGGCAAGUCUGAAGUGAAAGCCCGGGGCUCAACCCCGGGACUGCUUUGGAAACUGUCAUGCUGGAGUGCUGGAGAGGG
RNAcentral lists this ribosomal RNA (305 nucleotides) under uncultured bacterium. RNAcentral's name for it is "bacterial SSU rRNA". It matches the Rfam family "Bacterial small subunit ribosomal RNA", at positions 335 to 658 of the family's 1533-position model. The record is from RNAcentral.